This 501-nucleotide ribosomal RNA is filed under the name uncultured bacterium. RNAcentral describes it as "bacterial SSU rRNA". It matches the Rfam family "Bacterial small subunit ribosomal RNA", at positions 15 to 507 of the family's 1533-position model. The record is from RNAcentral.
GAUCAUGGCUCAGAUUGAACGCUGGCGGCACGCCUAACACAUGCAAGUCGAGCGGUAGCAUGAGUAGUAGCAAUACUACUUGAUGACGAGCGGCGGACGGGUGAGGAACACGUAGGAAUCUACCCUCAAGCGGGGGAUAACCAAGGGAAACUUUGGCUAAUACCGCAUAAUCUCGGGAGAGAAAAGCUACCCGCAAGGGCGGCACUUGAGGAGGAGCCUGCGUCCGAUUAGCUAGUUGGCAGGGUAAAAGCCUACCAAGGCGAUGAUCGGUAACUGGUCUGAGAGGACGACCAGUCACACUGGGACUGAGACACGGCCCAGACUCCUACGGGAGGCAGCAGUGGGGAAUAUUGGACAAUGGGGGCAACCCUGAUCCAGCGAUGCCGCGUGAGUGAAGAAGGCCCUCGGGUCGUAAAGCUCUUUAGGCCGGGAAGAAGUGAAUAUGGUGCAUAGCCAUGUUUAUUGACGGUACCGGCAGAAUAAGCACCGGCAAACUCUGUG